AUUGAACGCUGGCGGCAGGCUUAACACAUGCAAGUCGAGCGAGCGGCGGACGGGUUGGUAAUGUCUCGGCAACUGCGUGAUGGAUGGGGAUCACUACUGGACACUGUUGCUACUACCGCAUUCCAUCACAUAGGCCCAGUUGGGAUUAGCUAGGUGGUGGGGUAAUGGCGCACCUAGGCGACGAUCCCUAGCUGGUCUGAGAGGAUGACCAGCCACACGGGAACUGAGACACGGUCCAGACUCCGACGGGAGGCAGCAGUGGGGAAUAUUGCACAAUGGGCGAAAGCCUGAUGCAGCCAUGCCGCGUGUGUGAAGAAGGCCUUCGGGUUGUAAAGCACUUUCAGCGAGGAGGCGUUACUCGCAGAAGAAGCACCGGCUAACUCCGUGCCAGCAGCCGCGGUAAUAC
RNAcentral lists this ribosomal RNA (406 nucleotides) under uncultured bacterium. Its description in RNAcentral is "partial 16S ribosomal RNA". It matches the Rfam family "Bacterial small subunit ribosomal RNA", at positions 30 to 526 of the family's 1533-position model. The record is from RNAcentral.